This 468-nucleotide ribosomal RNA is filed under the name uncultured bacterium. RNAcentral's name for it is "partial 16S ribosomal RNA". It matches the Rfam family "Bacterial small subunit ribosomal RNA", at positions 28 to 507 of the family's 1533-position model. The record is from RNAcentral.
GACGAACGCUGGCGGCGUGCUUAACACAUGCAAGUCGAACGGAAAGGCCCUGCUUUUGUGGGGUGCUCGAGUGGCGAACGGGUGAGUAACACGCGAGUAACCUGCCCUUGACUUUGGGAUAACUUCAGGAAACUGGGGCUAAUACCGGAUAGGAGCUCCUGCUGCACGGUGGGGGUUGGAAAGUUUCGGCGGUUGGGGAUGUACUCGCGGCUUAUCAGCUUGUUGGUGGGGUAGUUGCUUACCAAGGCUGUGACGGGUAGCCGGCCUGAGAGGGUGACCGGCCCCAAUGGGACUGAGAGACGGACCAGUCUCGUACGUGAGGCAGUAGGGGGGAAUAUUGCACAAUGGGCGGAAGCCAGAUGCAGCAGCGCCGCGUGCGUGAUGAUGGCCUUCGGGGUGUGAACCGCUUUCGCCUGUGCCGAAGCGUGAGUGACGGUAAUGGGUAAAGAAGCACCGGCUAACUACGUG